RNAcentral lists this ribosomal RNA (361 nucleotides) under Escherichia coli. RNAcentral describes it as "partial 23S ribosomal RNA". It matches the Rfam family "Bacterial large subunit ribosomal RNA", at positions 2575 to 2925 of the family's 2925-position model. Lineage: Bacteria; Pseudomonadati; Pseudomonadota; Gammaproteobacteria; Enterobacterales; Enterobacteriaceae. The record is from RNAcentral.
GGCUGUUCGCCAUUUAAAGUGGUACGCGAGCUGGGUUUAGAACGUCGUGAGACAGUUCGGUCCCUAUCUGCCGUGGGCGCUGGAGAACUGAGGGGGGCUGCUCCUAGUACGAGAGGACCGGAGUGGACGCAUCACUGGUGUUCGGGUUGUCAUGCCAAUGGCACUGCCCGGUAGCUAAAUGCGGAAGAGAUAAGUGCUGAAAGCAUCUAAGCACGAAACUUGCCCCGAGAUGAGUUCUCCCUGACUCCUUGAGAGUCCUGAAGGAACGUUGAAGACGACGACGUUGAUAGGCCGGGUGUGUAAGCGCAGCGAUGCGUUGAGCUAACCGGUACUAAUGAACCGUGAGGCUUAACCUUACAAC